CGGCAGACGUUUUUGGCAGCAAAAUAUCAUUAUCACUUCUUGAGCCCAAGCCAAAAUCUCCUUGCGGUCAAAACACAAUUCUUAAACUAAACAAUUAAAGAUUUGUGCAAGUGUUACAGCGCACAGCUUCGAGACUGCGAGCGUUCUCCUGCCAGUGUGAGGGAAGUUAACAAGCUGGGUGAUGGCUCAUAGGAAGGCAGUGCAGGGGCUGUCUCAAAACAAUCUGGUGAAAUGCCUUCCUUGGCAUUGCAAGGGACGGUCAAAAAU
This is a non-coding RNA of Pelobates cultripes (western spadefoot toad), 267 nucleotides long. The record is from the annotation of a GenBank genome assembly. NCBI's taxonomy places the organism in Eukaryota, Metazoa, Chordata, Amphibia, Anura, Pelobatidae.